AUUGAACGCUGGCGGAAUGCUUUACACAUGCAAGUCGAACGGCAGCACGGGGGCAGCCCUGGUGGCGAGUGGCGAACGGGUGAGUAAUACAUCGGAACGUGCCCGGUCGUGGGGGAUAACGUAGCGAAAGUUACGCUAAUACCGCAUACGAUCUGAGGAUGAAAGCGGGGGACCUUCGGGCCUCGCGCGAUCGGAGCGGCCGAUGUCAGAUUAGGUAGUUGGUGGGGUAAAGGCCUACCAAGCCGACGAUCUGUAGCUGGUCUGAGAGGACGACCAGCCACACUGGGACUGAGACACGGCCCAGACUCCUACGGGAGGCAGCAGUGGGGAAUUUUGGACAAUGGGCGCAAGCCUGAUCCAGCCAUUCCGCGUGCAGGACGAAGGCCUUCGGGUUGUAAACCGCUUUUGUACGGAACGAAAAGGCUCUGGCUAAUACCUGGGGCUCAUGACGGUACCGUAAGAAUAAGCACCGGCUAACUACGUG
Molecule: ribosomal RNA, 484 nt
Filed under: uncultured bacterium
Lineage: Bacteria
Description: partial 16S ribosomal RNA
Rfam family: Bacterial small subunit ribosomal RNA
Source: RNAcentral